ACUCCUACGGGAGGCAGCAGUGGGGAAUAUUGCACAAUGGGCGCAAGCCUGAUGCAGCCAUGCCGCGUGUAUGAAGAAGGCCUUCGGGUUGUAAAGUACUUUUCAGCAGUGAGGAAGGUGGGUAUGUUAAUAGCAUAUUCAUUUGACGUUAGCUGCAGAAGAAGCACCGGCUAACUCCGUGCCAGCAGCCGCGGUAAUACGGAGGGUGCGAGCGUUAAUCGGAAUUACUGGGCGUAAAGCGCAUGCAGGUGGUUUGUUAAGUCAGAUGUGAAAGCCCGGGGCUCAACCUCGGAAUUGCAUUUGAAACUGGCAAACUGAGUACUGUAGAGGGGGGUAGAAUUUCAGGUGUAGCGGUGAAAUGCGUAGAGAUCUGAAGGAAUACCGGUGGCGAAGGCGGCCCCCUGGACAGAUACUGACACUCAGAUGCGAAAGCGUGGGGAGCAAACAGGAUUAGAUACCCUGAUAGGCACUGC
Molecule: ribosomal RNA, 473 nt
Filed under: uncultured bacterium
Lineage: Bacteria
Description: bacterial SSU rRNA
Rfam family: Bacterial small subunit ribosomal RNA
Source: RNAcentral